Molecule: unclassified non-coding RNA, 218 nt
Filed under: uncultured Sordariomycetes
Lineage: Eukaryota; Fungi; Ascomycota; Sordariomycetes
Description: sequence contains ITS2
Source: RNAcentral
CAACCCCUCGAGCCCUUCUGGGCUUGGUGUUAGGGCUUCCUACGUGCGCCGUAGGCCCUGAAUCACAGUGGCGGGCCCGCCGCGAUCCCGAGCGUAGUAAUGCUACGUCGCUUAGGGUGUCGCGGCGGGCGCUGGCCGUGAAAGACAACAACCCGCCCACCCCGUAGUGCCUUUGCGCACCUGGCGGUGGUAGGUGUCGUGUCACUAUUCAAAACAAA